Molecule: ribosomal RNA, 351 nt
Filed under: Cardinium endosymbiont of Dermanyssus gallinae
Lineage: Bacteria; Pseudomonadati; Bacteroidota; Cytophagia; Cytophagales; Amoebophilaceae
Description: bacterial SSU rRNA
Rfam family: Bacterial small subunit ribosomal RNA
Source: RNAcentral
UAAUUCCGUGCCAGCAGCCGCGGUAAUACGGGAGGUGCAAGCGUUAUCCGGUUUUAUUGGGUUUAAAGGGUGCGUAGGCGGCUUAUUAAGUCAGUUGUGAAAUCCUAGUGCUUAACGCUAGAACUGCGAUUGAUACUAUUAGGCUUGAGUUAAGAAGAGGUAGGCAGAAUUUAUGGUGUAGUAGUGAAAUGCUUAGAUAUCAUAAGGAAUACCAAUAGCGUAGGCAGCUUACUGGUCUUUAACUGACGCUGAGGCACGAAAGCGUGGGGAGCAAACAGGAUUAGAUACCCUGGUAGUCCACGCCGUAAACGAUGAUCACUCGAUAUACAUGAUGCGUCAUGUGUGUCUAAG